Molecule: ribosomal RNA, 762 nt
Filed under: bacterium AV-Se-2-dark
Lineage: Bacteria
Description: bacterial SSU rRNA
Rfam family: Bacterial small subunit ribosomal RNA
Source: RNAcentral
GCGGCAGCCUUAACAUGCAAGUCGAACGGCAGCACGGGAGCUAUCCUGGUGGCGAGUGGGGAACGGGUGAGUAAAGUAUCGGAACGUGCCCAGUCGUGGGGGAUAACGUAGCGAAAGUUACGCUAAUACCGCAUACGAUCUAUGGAUGAAAGCGGGGGAUCGCAAGACCUCGCGCGAUUGGAGCGGCCGAUAUCAGAUUAKGUAGAUGGGGGGGUAAAGGCUCACCAAGCCGACGAUCUGUAGCUGGGCUGAGAGGACGACCAGCCACACUGGGACUGAGACACGGCCCASACUCCUACGGGAGGCAGCAGUGGGGAAUUUUGGACAAUGGGCGAAAGCCUGAUCCAGCCAUGCCGCGUGCAGGAUGAAGGCCUUCGGGUUGUAAACUGCUUUUGUACGGAACGAAAAGGUUUGGCCUAAUAAGCUGAGCUCAUGACGGUACCGUAAGAAUAAGCACCGGCUAACUACGUGCCAGCAGCCGCGGUAAUACGUAGGGUGCGAGCGUUAAUCGGAAUUACUGGGCGUAAAGCGUGCGCAGGCGGUUAUGUAAGACAGAUGUGAAAUCCCCGGGCUCUACCUGGGAACUGCAUUAGUGACUGCAUAGCUGGAGUACGGCAGAGGGGGAUGGAAUUCCGCGUGUAGCAGUGAAAUGCGUAAAUAUGCGGAGGAACACCGAUGGCGAAGRCAAUCCCCUGGGCCUGUACUGACRCUCAUGCACAAAAGCGUGGGGAGCCAACAGGAUUAGAUACCCUUGGGUGGUCC